GACGAACGCUGGCGGCGUGCCUAAUACAUGCAAGUCGAACGCAGUGGGGCCGGGGAAGUAACACGUGGGUAACCUCCCAUCAGAGGGGAUAACACUUGGAAACAGGUGCUAAACCGAUACUGAUGGAUGGACCCGCGGUGCAUUAGCUAGUGGGUGAGGUAACGGCUCACCAAGGCCACGAUGCAUAGCCGGCCUGAGAGGGUGAUCAGCCACACGGGGACUGAGACACGGCCCAGACUCCUACGGGAGGCAGCAGUAGGGAAUAUUCGGCAAUGGACGAAAGUCUGACCCAGCCACGCCGCGUGAGUGAAGAAGGUUUUCGGAUCGUAAAGCUCUUUUGUUAGAGAAGCGUUAUCUAAACAGAAAGCAACGGCUAACUACGUGCCAGCAGCCGCGGUAAUAC
RNAcentral lists this ribosomal RNA (403 nucleotides) under uncultured bacterium. Its description in RNAcentral is "partial 16S ribosomal RNA". It matches the Rfam family "Bacterial small subunit ribosomal RNA", at positions 28 to 526 of the family's 1533-position model. The record is from RNAcentral.